GACGAACGCUGGCGGCGUGCCUAAUACAUGCAAGUAGAACGCUGAAGCGAGGAGCUUCCUCUUCUUGGAUGAGUUGCGAACGGGUGAGUAACGCGUAGGUAACCUACCUUGUAGCGGGGGAUAACUAUUGGAAACGAUAGCUAAUACCGCAUAACACUGGAUGACACAUGUCAUUUAUUUGAAAGGGGCAAUUGCUCCACUACAAGAUGGACCUGCGUUGUAUUAGCUAGUAGGUGAGGUAAUGGCUCACCUAGGCGACGAUACAUAGCCGACCUGAGAGGGUGAUCGGCCACACUGGGACUGAGACACGGCCCAGACUCCUACGGGAGGCAGCAGUAGGGAAUCUUCGGCAAUGGGGGCAACCCUGACCGAGCAACGCCGCGUGAGUGAAGAAGGUUUUCGGAUCGUAAAGCUCUGUUGUAAGUCAAGAACGGGUGUGAGAGUGGAAAGUUCACACUGUGACGGUAGCUUACCAGAAAGGGACGGCUAACUACGUG
This 497-nucleotide ribosomal RNA is filed under the name uncultured bacterium. Its description in RNAcentral is "partial 16S ribosomal RNA". It matches the Rfam family "Bacterial small subunit ribosomal RNA", at positions 28 to 507 of the family's 1533-position model. The record is from RNAcentral.